This 657-nucleotide long non-coding RNA is filed under the name Vulpes vulpes (red fox). RNAcentral describes it as "lncRNA (ENSVVUG00000014793.1)". Lineage: Eukaryota; Metazoa; Chordata; Mammalia; Carnivora; Canidae. The record is from RNAcentral.
CCUUGAUGUUAAUUAAAACUCCUUUGCCAAACACUGAGAGGGAAGCAUGGGACUCCUGGAGAGGAGGUGCCUGCAGUAAUCUCCUCUAAGGCACCACCCACACAGCAUGUCUCUGCUCCUCUUUACCAGUCCAGCCAUGUAAGCUGCCAAGCUCACUUUCUCUGAUCCCCCAGAACUUGGGCUGCAGGAUGGAGAGUGGAUUUGGGGGUGGGAGGUGGGUGUACGUAAGUAGUGAGGUGACCAGCAAAGACACUGUUCCAGAUGGGCGAAGCUUGAACAUUGAAAUGUUGAUGGUCAAUUCAAGAAGGAAAGACUGAAUAAAUACCCUGGAGAGAGAAGAGAAUGAUCUAAGGGCAAGUUGCCAGCUACACACUGUGCUGUGUGUGCUUCCAGCACAUCUCCAAAGAAGGCUUUCAAAGUUGGACUUGCUGGUAUUUUGAAUUUGGAGAGAACCAUCCUCAAAUCACCGUGCUUUGACAUUUCCACCUCAUCACAUCUUUUAUUCUCGGAUCAUAAAGGCCCUGGUCUCAUUUUACAGAUGGAAGAAUUAAACAAGGUGACACAAGGAACACCAAAACAGUUCUAUAAUACCCCUGAGGAUGUUUAAAAUCAAGAGGGGUUUCAAAUUAGGGCAUACAAUGUCUUUUAUUGUUUCGC